Molecule: long non-coding RNA, 1430 nt
Organism: Patella vulgata (common limpet)
Lineage: Eukaryota; Metazoa; Mollusca; Gastropoda; Patellidae
Exons: 2
Source: RefSeq, a predicted model, not a curated record
CCUUCACAUUGGAGAACCACUCGGCAAACUUCGGCAGAUUCCGGUAUCUUACAUCUAGCAUCGGCUGUGUGACAGCAUAGAACUAGAAUACUAAGUAUUCUAGUUCUAUGGUGACAGUAAGUGAUAUGUACCUACGCCUAUACAUUUGCGAUGCGGCACCGGUUUACUUAUAAGGGAAACUUGUCCGCGUUUAGAAAGAAGUUCUCAAAAUUGCGUCGUUCGAAGAGUGUGUAGAAUUUUCAGUGCAAAUUUGUCCUUGUCUAAAGAAAAUCGGAUAAACUUGAAAGAAAAACAGCUUCAAACUUUGAAAAUUUUGUAAGAUAAAACAUUCUUCAAAUACGUCGUCAUCAAUGACGUCAUUGGUCGUCAUGGACAACGCCAUUGUAAUCCGGGAACUUGAAAGUAGUUCUAAUGACGGACUUUGUUAUACAGCCGAGAUUAGAUGUAGGGUACUGGAAUCUGUUGAGUUUUGCCGAGUGAUUGGAGAACGAUAGAUCGGAGACGGUCCUGCGCAUAGAUCUUCUUAACUGAUUGAAUUUCGCGGGAAAAAUCAAACCAAACCCUCGGUCAAGCCAAAAAACUCCGAAUGCACGGGCCGCUUACACCAAGGUAAAGAAAUGCGUAGGGCCGUCUCCGAUCUUCAACAUUCGCUUCUGGAAUGUAAACUAGGCUAACCAUAAACAGAAGAAAAUUUAAUCGAAAUUACGAAAUACAUAAAAAAUGAAGGGUUGUGUUUAAUUAUAAGAUGGAGUUUGAAAAUAGCGUGAUGGUCAUUUGUGCAGAAUUUCUUGAAGAUAUUUGGCAAUAAAGAUUUGGGUUGAUGAAGAUCAGUGAGCACAACAAAAAAAAGCACACUGUAAUAUUUAUAUAUGCAGUUAUUCGCCUUGCUCAAAUAGAGGGAGUUUAUUGUCCAUUCGAUCACACGUUUUGACCAAUCAGAAUCGAGUGUCUGUUGUGACUUUUUGUCCAUGUGAUAGAAACAGUAGAUUAAAAAUGCUAGUAGUACUUACUGGAUACAAGUUCAGUGAAACAAAAUACAAGAACUAAGGGUAAAACUGCCAUGAUAACCAACUGUAAUUUACAAUCUAUGUAUCAUCAAUGGGACAGACAUAUUUAUAGGACUCACGAACAAUUAUGUACCGGUACAUAUUAAUUAUGCAAUUGUCCGACCACUUGUGAAAGAACACAGCCAGAAGAUAUUUAACCAGCCGUUCACACCGGUAUACAAUUAAUUUUGCAAUAUACUUCGGAUGCAAUAAAUUGACAUUUUGAUAACAUUUGAAAGAUAAAUAUCAUUUAGUUUUUAUUUAUCUAUGGAUCCAUUUAACUAUAAUCUCUGUAUUUAUCACCUUCAUCAACAAUUCAUUUCACAAUCCAACCGGGUACAGAGCUGUUCUUUAUGGUCAAUAUAUUUCGUCUUUUUAAAAUUU